GCCACCUUAGCUCAGUUGGUUAGAGCACCUGUUUUGUAAACAGGAUGUCCUGAGUUCGAAUCUCAGAGGUGGCU
RNAcentral lists this transfer RNA (74 nucleotides) under Candidatus Microgenomatia bacterium. RNAcentral describes it as "tRNA-Thr". It matches the Rfam family "tRNA". From Rfam's summary of the family: Transfer RNA (tRNA) molecules are approximately 80 nucleotides in length. Their secondary structure includes four short double-helical elements and three loops (D, anti-codon, and T loops). Lineage: Bacteria; Candidatus Microgenomatota; Candidatus Microgenomatia (nom. nud.). The record is from RNAcentral.